Molecule: non-coding RNA, 29 nt
Filed under: Cricetulus griseus (Chinese hamster)
Lineage: Eukaryota; Metazoa; Chordata; Mammalia; Rodentia; Cricetidae
Source: RNAcentral
UGAUGCUGCCAGCCGUGCUAUUGACUAUG